Molecule: ribosomal RNA, 253 nt
Filed under: uncultured bacterium
Lineage: Bacteria
Description: partial 16S ribosomal RNA
Rfam family: Bacterial small subunit ribosomal RNA
Source: RNAcentral
UACGAAGGGGGCUAGCGUUGCUCGGAAUUACUGGGCGUAAAGGGCGCGUAGGCGGAUAGUUUAGUCAGAGGUGAAAGCCCAGGGCUCAACCUUGGAACUGCCUUUGAUACUGGCUAUCUUGAGUUCGGGAGAGGUGAGUGGAAUGCCGAGUGUAGAGGUGAAAUUCGUAGAUAUUGGGAAGAACACCGGUUGCGAAGGCGGCCACCUGGACCGGCACUGACGCUGAGGUGCGAAAGCGUGGGGAGCAAACAGG